Acanthochromis polyacanthus (spiny chromis) is the source of this 140-nucleotide small nucleolar RNA. The record is from Ensembl. Lineage: Eukaryota; Metazoa; Chordata; Actinopteri; Pomacentridae.
CUGCACUGUCUUUGAACCUAGUUGGUUUCAUGUGUGACCUCUUAGGCCAAGCUACAGUGCUAGAGAAAACUCAGGCUUGUUCAUAACUGGGGCCUCCUGGCAUCACCCCCAGGUUGCUCUUUUAAAAGCAAGUUACAUCU